This 492-nucleotide ribosomal RNA is filed under the name uncultured bacterium. Its description in RNAcentral is "partial 16S ribosomal RNA". It matches the Rfam family "Bacterial small subunit ribosomal RNA", at positions 29 to 507 of the family's 1533-position model. The record is from RNAcentral.
AGUGAACGCUGGCGGUAGGCCUAACACAUGCAAGUCGAACGGCAGCACAGUAAGAGCUUGCUCUUACGGGUGGCGAGUGGCGGACGGGUGAGGAAUACAUCGGAAUCUACUUUUUCGUGGGGGAUAACGUAGGGAAACUUACGCUAAUACCGCAUACGACCUACGGGUGAAAGCAGGGGAUCUUCGGACCUUGCGCGAUUGAAUGAGCCGAUGUCGGAUUAGCUAGUUGGCGGGGUAAAGGCCCGCCAAGGCGACGAUCCGUAGCUGGUCUGAGAGGAUGAUCAGCCACACUGGAACUGAGACACGGUCCAGACUCCUACGGGAGGCAGCAGUGGGGAAUAUUGGACAAUGGGCGCAAGCCUGAUCCAGCCAUACCGCGUGGGUGAAGAAGGCCUUCGGGUUGUAAAGCCCUUUUGUUGGGAAAGAAAAGCAGCAGGUUAAUACCCCGCUGCUCUGACGGUACCCAAAGAAUAAGCACCGGCUAACUUCGUG